This is a long non-coding RNA of Coccinella septempunctata (seven-spotted ladybird), 348 nucleotides long. RefSeq lists it as uncharacterized. The record is from RefSeq and is a predicted model, not a curated record. Lineage: Eukaryota; Metazoa; Arthropoda; Insecta; Coleoptera; Coccinellidae. The transcript is spliced from 3 exons.
GACUGAUUAAGUUGGUUUAGCUGGGUCGUACUCGAUGGAGAUGUUAUGUUGUGGAAAGAAUUGUGUUGGGCUAGUUGUUCAUGGUGUUGAGUAACCUGGAACGAAUUUUCAAAUGAAUAUCUGUGCAGAAGAUGUGUUGCAGUCAUCAUAUCACGCGAGUCGAACCAUUUUGCAGAAGUCACGUUACCGGUUACAUACAUUUUAUUUAAGCUAGUUCUUUCACAGCGUUAGUUUUUUCUCUUUGCCAAAUAAAUACAUUGUGAACCAUGGCACAACCGCAAAAAACAAUUCCCAAUCCAAUGAAGACGCUGGUCACUAUGGCAGGAGUGGAAUGGAAUUGAAUGAAAG